RNAcentral lists this ribosomal RNA (484 nucleotides) under uncultured bacterium. RNAcentral's name for it is "partial 16S ribosomal RNA". It matches the Rfam family "Bacterial small subunit ribosomal RNA", at positions 30 to 507 of the family's 1533-position model. The record is from RNAcentral.
AUUGAACGCUGGCGGCAUGCUUUACACAUGCAAGUCGAACGGCAGCGCGGGCUUCGUCCUUGCGUCGUGUUGCGAACGGGUGAGUAAUACAUCGGAACGUGCCCAGUCUUUGGGGAUAGCUUGACUUAAGCCGGAUUGAUCUCGCAUCGGAUCUUAUUUUGAAAGCGGUGGAUCUUCAGUGCUCGCGCUUUUUGAGGUGCCUUCGGCAUAUUAGCUAGUUGGUUUGGUAACGGCGUACCAAGGCGACGAUCCGUAGCUGGCCUGAGAGGACGACCAGCCACACUGGAACUGAGACACGGCCCAGACUCCUACGGGAGGCAGCAGUAGGGAAUUUUCGACAAUGGGCGAAAGCCUGAUGGAGCAAUGCCGCGUGUGUGAUGAAGGCCUUCGGGUUGUAAAGCACUUUUAGCGGGAAAGAAAAGAAGUGUGAGAAUACCACGGUUCGAUGACGGUACCCGAAGAAUAAGCACCGGCUAACUACGUG